UUCUUAUUGGAUGAUGACGGUCACAUGUUAUGUUUUGCUUGGAUAUCAACUCCAUGAAAGAUGAAAUACAUUGUUGUUUUCAUUGACCAAUCAGAACAUGACACGUGACAGUCAACCUCA
Glycine soja is the source of this 120-nucleotide non-coding RNA. The record is from Rfam. Lineage: Eukaryota; Viridiplantae; Streptophyta; Magnoliopsida; Fabales; Fabaceae.